RNAcentral lists this ribosomal RNA (429 nucleotides) under Gemmatimonadota bacterium. RNAcentral's name for it is "Gemmatimonadetes bacterium partial 16S ribosomal RNA". It matches the Rfam family "Bacterial small subunit ribosomal RNA", at positions 355 to 776 of the family's 1533-position model. Lineage: Bacteria; Pseudomonadati; Gemmatimonadota. The record is from RNAcentral.
UAGGGAAUCUUCGGCAAUGGACGAAAGUCUGACCGAGCAACGCCGCGUGAGUGAAGAAGGUUUUCGGAUCGUAAAACUCUGUUGUUAGAGAAGAACAAGGACGUUAGUAACUGAACGUCCCCUGACGGUAUCUAACCAGAAAGCCACGGCUAACUACGUGCCAGCAGCCGCGGUAAUACGUAGGUGGCAAGCGUUGUCCGGAUUUAUUGGGCGUAAAGCGAGCGCAGGCGGUUUCUUAAGUCUGAUGUGAAAGCCCCCGGCUCAACCGGGGAGGGUCAUUGGAAACUGGGAGACUUGAGUGCAGAAGAGGAGAGUGGAAUUCCAUGUGUAGCGGUGAAAUGCGUAGAUAUAUGGAGGAACACCAGUGGCGAAGGCGGCUCUCUCGUCUGUAACUGACGCUGAGGCUCGAAAGCGUGGGGAGCAAACAGG